ACUGCAGUAGUGAAAAUCAAGCGCACUAUGGGCGGAAACUAGGAAGACACUUAAACAUAAAGAUGAAGUGCCUAAUUCAAGGUCACACAAUGUCGGGGAUGGACCUCCAGAUUUCCUUACUGACCUGCAUUAUCUGUGGAUAUCUGAGUGAAUUACACACCACCCAUUUUAUAGAUGAAGCCACUGAGACAUGGAGCAACUGACUGAGUAGUCACUGCCCCACCCCUGGAGCCUCACACAUGACUCGUCUCCUCUCUCUCAGUGACCACAGGUUGGUUGAGGGGUUUGACAAGGCUAAGAAGUUACUUAUCCUGUAUUACAUGAGGGAAAUGAAACAAAAAGACUACAGCCCCACUCCCAGCUACUCCGUGAGGUGGUAGCUAGAUCAGUCUGCACAAAAGGAAUUUCUACCUCUCCCUACUUUGUAAAUGCAGCCUGACAAAUUUGUGCUUCACUUAGGAUUAUUUAGUUAGAAGGUAAGACAUGGUCUUGUACCACAGUGGUUAAGAAUGUGACUUUGGAGCCAGCCUGCUAGGGGAUGAAUUCUGACUCAGCCAUUUACUAACUGGGUGACCUUAGUUCCCUGAGCACAUGCUGUUGAGUAAUCCUGCCUGGACCAGUCCUUCCCUCACCCUAGACUUCACCUUCAGUUCCCCUUUAUACCACCUGCUGAAGCUGCCAGCCAGCCUUUUCCACCACCCUCCCUCCCCCAAGGGUGUUUGGCUUCUCAGACCCUAGCCUGAGCUAGUGCCCUUGGCUCACUAGGGUCUUGCCAGGAAAGUCAAAGGAGAACAUACAUACUGCCAAAGAGUUCCUAAUAAUGAGAAUUCCCAUGCUGAAUUGUGAUUUAUAGUCAGCAUAGCACAUGUGUCACAUGAUUAUACUUAGGCUGAUUUUAGCCCGAAUAAUCUGCUUCUGUGAUCCUGUAUGUGGAAAACCUAGAAAUUUCUCUGUGAUCCUCCUUCCUGGAUCACUAAGAGAUAAGUCAAGACAUAGGUUCAUUGUACCACCUGUAUUAAUCUGGGCCUUGUUGAGACCAUUUAAAAAAGGUGUGAUGCUAGAAGUAAGGUCCAGGCCUCCCACACACAGUUUCAAGGCUGUGACCAUAGUCAAAUCCUGUUGCUUUGAGUCCAAAGAGUUUAAAAUAGUGUUGGAAACCUCCUAGGGAAAACAAAAAAACAACACCAUAACUUCCUGGGUAAGGAAGUGACAUGUGCUGACUAGAGCAGGAGGGGUAGCCAAGGCUCCAAGUUCUAUUCUGGACCUGCUGUUGAUUUGAGGUGUGACAUUCAGCAAUCUGAGCUGAUGUUCUGUAGCUCGGAUUGGUUUCUCAUCUUCCGCAGAGAGAGUGAAAAGAGGCUGUGCUUGCAGUGGAAAAGGUGAAUACUGGUCUCUUGUCCUUUAGGAGAACCUCACCAUUGCACAUCCUGCCUCUCAUUUGAAUUUCCAGGCUUCUUUUUUAGAGUCUCGCUCUGUUGCCCAGCUUGGAGUGCAGUGGUGUGAUCUUGGCUCACUGCAACCUCUGCCUCUGGGUUUAAGUGAUUCUCUCACCUCAGCCUCCCAAGUAGCUGAAAUUAUAGGUGUGUGCCAUCAUGCCUGGCUAAUUUUUGUUUUUUAGUAGAGAUGGGGUUUCACCAUGUUGGCCAGGCUUGUCUCGAACUCCUGACCUCAAUUGAUCCACCUGCCUCGGCCUCCCAACCAGGCUUCUUUUUUAAAUGCAGAAAUACCCCCCAACCCAGAGUUAGUAUAGAAACCCAGCAAUGUUGUUUAUGUUUUACUUGAAUUCAUUUCAUCAGAAUUGCAUUCCUUUUAACAGUGUGAUUAGAUCAGCUCUUGUAGGGGAUGGCAGCUUCAAUAGGGUUUAGUAAAGAAAAGAUUUGUGUGGGGCACACACAUUGGCUUUGAUAGCUUGAGGAUACCAGGUACAUGAUAGUUUAGAUGGAUAACAGAAACUUGUGUCCGUUGAGAGCCAGGCAUGUAUUAGAUGCUUUCAUAUAUAAUUUAAUUGUAGUACAAACCAAUAAAGUAUUCCCAUUUUUUGCACGUGAGCAAGCUGAAAAAGAAGUUAUAUAACUUGUCCAAGGUCACACAGCUAAUAAAAGGGCUGAGCUAGGAUUUAUUUCUCCUCAAGUCUGUACAACGCCAAAACCCAUGCUGUUUUCACAGAGCUUUUCUGUCCCUGGUGAGAUUUAGGAAAGGGUGGGAGAAAGAAGGGUGAUGAGAUGCUGUCUUUACCUACCUCGCGAUUUGCUUGUUGGUACGUGUUUAGCUAGAACAUUCUGUUUAUAGAGUACUAGAUUCUAUAUAUAGAGAUGCUGCAACAACAUAUGUGGGAAAGAUACCAAUUGGCUGUAGGUGAGGAUUUCAAGAAGUCUUUGUUCUUCAUCACAGUGUAGGCCACACGUGUCAAAACACCACUGGUAAUUGGUUUGCUACUAAAGUGGCUCUGUCUUAUCAUCUACAUAAAAUCUGUGGAUGUGGCUCACAAAGUCAGCUGUGAUGGGGCUAGAGGUGAGGGUGUGGUGUGUUACUGCAUGUACUGGAGCUGGUGGCACCUGUUUUGUGACUGUUAACAUUGAAUGAUUACUGAGUAAAUAAGAGGUGUCUCGGCCAGGCGCGGUGGCUCACACCUGUAAUCCCAGCACUUUGGGAGGCCGAGGCGGGCGGAUUACCUGAUGUCGGUACUUUGAGACGAGCCUGACUGACAUGGAGAAACCCUGUCUCUACUAAAAAUACAAAAUUAGCUGGGCAUGGUGGCUCAUGUCUGUAAUCCCAGCCACUUGGGAGGCUGUGGCAGGAGAAUCGCCUGAACCCGAGAGGGAGAUCGUGUCAUUGCACUCUAGCCUGGGCAACAAGAGUGAAACUCCGUCUCAAAAAACAAACAAACAAAAAAUUA
Long non-coding RNA from Macaca fascicularis (crab-eating macaque), 2896 nucleotides. NCBI's taxonomy places the organism in Eukaryota, Metazoa, Chordata, Mammalia, Primates, Cercopithecidae. The record is from Ensembl.